RNAcentral lists this ribosomal RNA (427 nucleotides) under uncultured bacterium. Its description in RNAcentral is "partial 16S ribosomal RNA". It matches the Rfam family "Bacterial small subunit ribosomal RNA", at positions 355 to 774 of the family's 1533-position model. The record is from RNAcentral.
UGGGGAAUAUUGGACAAUGGGCGAAAGCCUGAUCCAGCCAUGCCGCGUGUGUGAAGAAGGUCUUCGGAUUGUAAAGCACUUUAAGUUGGGAGGAAGGGCAUUAACCUAAUACGUUAGUGUUUUGACGUUACCGACAGAAUAAGCACCGGCUAACUCUGUGCCAGCAGCCGCGGUAAUACAGAGGGUGCAAGCGUUAAUCGGAAUUACUGGGCGUAAAGCGCGCGUAGGUGGUUUGUUAAGUUGGAUGUGAAAUCCCCGGGCUCAACCUGGGAACUGCAUUCAAAACUGACUGACUAGAGUAUGGUAGAGGGUGGUGGAAUUUCCUGUGUAGCGGUGAAAUGCGUAGAUAUAGGAAGGAACACCAGUGGCGAAGGCGACCACCUGGACUAAUACUGACACUGAAGUGCGAAAGCGUGGGGAGCAAACA